This 451-nucleotide ribosomal RNA is filed under the name uncultured bacterium. RNAcentral describes it as "SSU rRNA". It matches the Rfam family "Bacterial small subunit ribosomal RNA", at positions 26 to 518 of the family's 1533-position model. The record is from RNAcentral.
AGAGCGAACGCUGGCGGCAGGCUUAACACAUGCAAGUCGAGCGGGCGUAGCAAUACGUCAGCGGCAGACGGGUGAGUAACGCGUGGGAACGUACCUUUUGGUUCGGAACAACCCAGGGAAACUUGGGCUAAAUACCGGAUAAGCCCUUACGGGGAAAGAUUUAUCGCCGAAAGAUCGGCCCGCGUCUGAUUAGCUAGUUGGUGAGGUAAUGGCUCACCAAGGCGACGAUCAGUAGCUGGUCUGAGAGGAUGAUCAGCCACAUUGGGACUGAGACACGGCCCAAACUCCUACGGGAGGCAGCAGUGGGGAAUAUUGGACAAUGGGCGCAAGCCUGAUCCAGCCAUGCCGCGUGAGUGAUGAAGGCCCUAGGGUUGUAAAGGCUCUUUUGUGCGGGAAGAUAAUGACGGUACCGCAAGAAUAAGCCCCGGCUAACGUUCGUGCCAGCAGCCGC